This 66-nucleotide transfer RNA is filed under the name Agapanthia daurica. RNAcentral describes it as "tRNA-Cys". Lineage: Eukaryota; Metazoa; Arthropoda; Insecta; Coleoptera; Cerambycidae. The record is from RNAcentral.
UAGUCUUAUAGUCAAAAUUAUGAUAUUAAACUGCAAAUUUAAAGUUGAUAUAAAAUAUUUAAGGCU